GGUCUUGAUGUUGUAAAUCUUGUAAGGCUUUAGCAAUUUAAAAGCGGAGAAGCAACAAGAUGGAUUUCAUUGUUUGUUGAUUUAAAGCUGAGUUUUAUCCCUAUAAAGCUUCAAAGGGUCUUUUUGUCCUUUAGUGUCAG
Molecule: ribosomal RNA, 140 nt
Filed under: Breviolum minutum
Lineage: Eukaryota; Dinophyceae; Suessiales; Symbiodiniaceae
Description: partial 23S ribosomal RNA
Source: RNAcentral